RNAcentral lists this ribosomal RNA (446 nucleotides) under uncultured bacterium. Its description in RNAcentral is "partial 16S ribosomal RNA". It matches the Rfam family "Bacterial small subunit ribosomal RNA", at positions 338 to 795 of the family's 1533-position model. The record is from RNAcentral.
CCUACGGGUGGCAGCAGUGAGGAAUAUUGGUCCAUGGGGGGAACCCUGACCGAGCAACGCCGCGUGAACGAAGACGUUAUUCGUAAUGUAAAGUUCUUUUAACAGGGAAGAAAGAGACAUUUGACGGUACCUGAAGAAUAAGCUCCGGCUAACUACGUGACAGCAGCCUCGGUAAUACGUAGGGAGCGAGCGGUAUCCGGAAUUAUUGGGCGAAAAGGGUGCGUAGAUGGCAUAGUAAGUCUUUUGUAAAAAUGCUGGGCUAAACCCAGUAGGGCAAAAGAUACUGCAAAGCUAGAGUAUGACAGAGGCAAGUGGAACGACAGGUGUAGCGGGAAAAUGCGUAAAUAUAUGUAAGAACACCAGUGGCGAAGGCGGCUUGCUGGGUCGAUACUGACAUUGAGGCACGAAAGCGUGGGGAGCAAACAGGAUUAGAUACCCGGGUAGUC